UCCACGCCGUAAACGAUGGAUACUAGCUGUUCGGAUUUAUCUGAGUGGCUAAGCGAAAGUGAUAAGUAUCCCACCUGGGGAGUACGUUCGCAAGAAUGAAACUCAAAGGAAUUGACGGGGGCCCGCACAAGCGGUGGAGCAUGUGGUUUAAUUCGAUGAUACGCGAGGAACCUUACCAGGGCUUAAAUGUAGUCUGACAGGCGUGGAAAC
This 210-nucleotide ribosomal RNA is filed under the name uncultured bacterium. RNAcentral describes it as "partial 16S ribosomal RNA". It matches the Rfam family "Bacterial small subunit ribosomal RNA", at positions 794 to 1007 of the family's 1533-position model. The record is from RNAcentral.